UGGGGUGCCCCGCGAGGGGAGCCCUAGCACAGGUGCUGCAUGGCCGUCGUCAGCUCGUGCCGUGAGGUGUUGGGUUAAGUCCCGCAACGAGCGCAACCCCGCCGUUAGUUGCCAGCGGUUCGGCCGGGCACUCUAACGGGACUGCCCGCGAAAGCGGGAGGAAGGAGGGGACGACGUCUGGUCAGCAUGGCCCUUACGGCCUGGGCGACACACGUGCUACAAUGCCCACUACAAAGCGAUGCCACCCGGCAACGGGGAGCUAAUCGCAAAAAGGUGGGCCCAGUUCGGAUUGGGGUCUGCAACCCGACCCCAUGAAGCCGGAAUCGCUAGUAAUCGCGGAUCAGCCAUGCCGCGGUGAAUACGUUCCCGGGCCUU
This 375-nucleotide ribosomal RNA is filed under the name uncultured Thermus sp. Its description in RNAcentral is "bacterial SSU rRNA". It matches the Rfam family "Bacterial small subunit ribosomal RNA", at positions 1008 to 1382 of the family's 1533-position model. Lineage: Bacteria; Thermotogati; Deinococcota; Deinococci; Thermales; Thermaceae. The record is from RNAcentral.